UCGAUUCCCUUAGUAGCGGCGAGCGAAACGGGAAGAGCCCAAACCAACAAGCUUGCUUGUUGGGGUUGUAGGACACUCUAUACGGAGUUACAAAGGACGACAUUAGACGAAUCAUCUGGAAAGAUGAAUCAAAGAAGGUAAUAAUCCUGUAGUCGAAAAUGUUGUCUCUCUUGAGUGGAUCCUGAGUACGACGGAGCACGUGAAAUUCCGUCGGAAUCUGGGAGGACCAUCUCCUAAGGCUAAAUACUCUCUAGUGACCGAUAGUGAACCAGUACCGUGAGGGAAAGGUGAAAAGCACCCCGGAAGGGGAGUGAAAUAGAACCUGAAACCGUGUGCUUACAAGUAGUCAGAGCCCGUUAAUGGGUGAUGGCGUGCCUUUUGUAGAAUGAACCGGCGAGUUACGAUUUGAUGCAAGGUUAAGCAGUAAAUGUGGAGCCGUAGCGAAAGCGAGUCUGAAUAGGGCGUUUAGUAUUUGGUCGUAGACCCGAAACCAGGUGAUCUACCCUUGGUCAGGUUGAAGUUCAGGUAACACUGAAUGGAGGACCGAACCGACUUACGUUGAAAAGUGAGCGGAUGAACUGAGGGUAGCGGAGAAAUUCCAAUCGAACCUGGAGAUAGCUGGUUCUCUCCGAAAUAGCUUUAGGGCUAGCCUCAAGUGAUGAUUAUUGGAGGUAGAGCACUGUUUGGACGAGGGGCCCCUCUCGGGUUACCGAAUUCAGACAAACUCCGAAUGCCAAUUAAUUUAACUUGGGAGUCAGAACAUGGGUGAUAAGGUCCGUGUUCGAAAGGGAAACAGCCCAGACCACCAGCUAAGGUCCCAAAAUAUAUGUUAAGUGGAAAAGGAUGUGGCGUUGCCCAGACAACUAGGAUGUUGGCUUAGAAGCAGCCAUCAUUUAAAGAGUGCGUAAUAGCUCACUAGUCGAGUGACACUGCGCCGAAAAUGUACCGGGGCUAAACAUAUUACCGAAGCUGUGGAUUGUCCUUUGGACAAUGGUAGGAGAGCGUUCUAAGGGCG
RNAcentral lists this ribosomal RNA (1015 nucleotides) under Staphylococcus aureus. Its description in RNAcentral is "partial 23S ribosomal RNA". It matches the Rfam family "Bacterial large subunit ribosomal RNA", at positions 231 to 1249 of the family's 2925-position model. Lineage: Bacteria; Bacillati; Bacillota; Bacilli; Caryophanales; Staphylococcaceae. The record is from RNAcentral.